AAAAAAUGUUGGCAAGGAUGUGGAGGAAAAAAAGGAAUCCUUAUAUACUGCUUGUGGGAAUGUAAACUUGAAUAGCCAUUAUAGAAGCCAGUAUGGAGGAUUUUAGGAAAAAAACUAAAAAUGUAUAUUAGAUAGAUAACCCAGCUAUACCAUAUCUUGGUAUUUACUGAAAGGAGUCCAACUCAACUAUCACAGAGAUACUUGCAAAUCAAUGUGUCUGCAGCGGUGCUCACCACAGAUAUGGAAUCCACCUAGUUGUCCAACGAGAGAGGACUAGAUAAAGUAUGUGGCAUAUAUACACAAGGGGAGAUUUUUCAGCCGUGUCAUUUGUAGGAAAAUAGAUACGGCUGGAAAUAACCAUUAAGGGAACUAAGCCAAUCUCAGACAAAUAUGUUUUCUCUCAUUUGUGGUUCCUAUAUUUUAUAUAGGUCACAGAACUAUGUAUGUGUAUGUUGCAUGAGUGUAGAAGUGAAGCUGUUAGGAGGGCCUAAGGCAAGGGAGACGAGCAAGGAAAGGUUUUAGGAGCUACGGGGGAGAAUCUUCUCAACACGUAAUAGAUACUUAGAACAUAUAAGCAUUUACAUCUUUUUCAUUUUGAAGUCUAGCUGGGCAUGGUUGUGCUUAUGUGCAUUCCCAGUACAUUGUGUGACGAGCGAACUACGUGAGAGGAGCCCCGUGCUCACUACAGCCCGGGGAAUUCUAUGACUGCUGCACACAGGAGUAGAGUCGGAGCACAGUACAUUAGUGUCACUGGACACGGGGCAGAUCGCAAUCAGGCUUUCAGAGAGGAAGAAAAGCCCAGGGUGCCCAGAUGUUGCUUCGUGCUUUCCUUGUGGGUCAUUAGUUAACAGGUAGCCUGCGCAGUCACAGUAUGACAUUUUGCCAGACCCGGAAGGAAUUCUAGCUGCUGUGGAGUUGAAAGAAAAAUAGAAAUAGGAGCGGUCACAGGGUGUUGAAGCUCCUGGAAUCUGACCUAGCCAGAGUGGAGUCAGCUUUUAACAUGCAGGCAUUCAGUUGAAAAGCCACACUUGAGAAGCGCUCCCUGACUAACUAUGCUUUGUUUGCCUUGACAAAGCCUAAAUUGUGUUUCACCAGGAGCAAGGAACAAGGAAAUUCACUGCCUCUCAAAAAAAUGUUCUCCCUUUUUUUUUUUUAAAGAACAUGUUUUCUUUCUUUGAGACAGGGUCUCAUGUAGCUCAGGCUAGCAUUAAACUGACCUCCACCCUUGAACUCUUCAUCUUGCCCCCCCCCUUUUUUUGGCUAUGGUUUUGUUUUUGGGUUUUGAGUCAUGGUCUCACCUUAAAACGCCCUGCCUAGUCUAGAACUCACUAUAUAAACCAGACUAGCCUCAGACUCGAGUGCUGGGAUCAAAGGCCUGUUUCAAUACUUUAUGUGGUGUGUAUAAUAUACAUGCAGGCAGAACAUACAUAGAAAAUCUUUUUUCAACAGACAAUAUAAAAAUUGGGCAUAAGGGGCUGAAGAGAUGGCUCAGAGGUUAAGAGCAUUGCCUGCUCUUCCAAAGGUCCUGAGUCCAAUUCCCAGCAACCAUAUAUGGUGGCUCACAACCAUCUGUAAUGGGAUCUGGUGCCCUCUUCUGGCCUCCAGGCAUACACACAGACAGAAUAUUGUAUACAUAAUAAAUAUUUUUUAAAAAUUGGGCAUAAGGCAGAAGGGUGAGGAAUUCAAGGUCAAUUUUAGCUACAUAGAGAAUCUAAGGCCAGCCUGGGAUACAGGACACACUAUCUUCACAAAAAAGGGCGGGUAGCACGUUUUAAGCACAGAUGUGGAGUAGCUGAAACCCUCCUCCAUUGCUGACGGAAAUGUAAUAUGGUGCCGCCUCUCUGAGAAAGUUGGGCACACUCAGCACAGCCAUUCAAAGAAAUCAAAAUAAAUGUCCCCAGGGACUUUUUAAGGCCAACCUGAGAUAGAGGAGAGAAUUUGUAAAGACACAAAACAGAUCCUUUGAGGAAUCUCCUUAGAUGGCAAUUUCAUAUUGGAUUUUAAAGAUGACUCAAACAGCUCUUGUUAUAGUUUGAGGGGAGACCGGCCCCAAAGGUUCAAGUGUUAAAAGUUUUUGGCCCUAGCCUAUGGCAUUAUUGGUAGGUGAUGGAAACUUGGAAAGAUCAAACCUAAUUGAAGGUCAUCUGGCCAUAGGCUGAAAGUUGUUGAAGGAGGAUAUUGCGACGCCAGGCUCCUCACCUUCCUGCCUUGUGUAUCAGGCAUUAGGUGGACCGAUUUGCCAUGUGUUGCAGCCAUAAUAUGCAACUUCAUUGCAGGCUCAUAAGCAAUAUGCUGAUAGUCUCAGGUAUUUGUAGUUUAAUAGAAAGCUAAAAUACUGAUAUUCAUAUGCCAGCUUUAUAAUUGUCACCAACUAGGGCCAGCCAUGGUGGAUCACACCUCUAAUCUUAGUACCAUGGGGAUGAGACCGCACUAGAGAGAGAAGCCCUAUCUGAAAUCAAAGCUAAAUAAAAAAGCCAAUAAUCAGAAAUGAUCCAAAUGUCUAUAGAAAAUGAAUGAGUAAACAAAAGGUCAUAUAAUCACUCAGUGGUGUACUGCUCAGCACAAAAAGGAACAUAUGAAUAUAAUAACAUAGGAACUUGAGAAACUAUAGAGGAGGAGUUGUAAAGAUGGCUCAGUGGUUACUGGCACCCACAUGGUACCUCAUGAGGGUGUAGAGGUGUGGGAAGUGAUAUGGACCUAAGUGCCAGACCUAAGUAUUCAAGUGUGUAAGACCCAGAUUAGAGAGAGACACUAGUUAGCCUAGUGUAGUGGGAGCGAGGGAGGGAGAGAGGGAGAGCAGAGCCCAUAAGUGCAGAUGCACCCAGGCCACUUGAUUGGAGACACAAAUUACUUCAUCAGUUAAAUACGAAGCAAGACCUUCAACUAAGUGGGAAGUAGGCAGGGAAUUUUAGAUCUGAUGCGAGAGGAAUGUUUUAAACGGUCUUCUGAUAGGUGAGUGCAAUUUUCUUUUAAAUACCAUAGAUCAAAAGCAUCCCUGAGUCAGGUGUGGUAGCACAUACCUGCAGUCCCAGGACUCGGAAGGCAGAGGCAGGAGGACGGCUGAGUAUGUGAAGCCAGCCUGGUCUACAAACCAGUUAUAGCCGUGGAUGCAUGGGAACACCCUGUCUGAAAAGCAGCAAAGAAAGAAAGAAUGUAAAAGUAAAGGAGGAAGAUGGAUGGCUACUACGGUUUUGAAGGUAGAUCCCUCUUGAAUGAGGUUAGUGCCCAGAUGGAGAGAGACUCAAGAGAGACCCUUGGCUCCUCCCACCGUAUAAAGACAGCGAAAGACACCACCUGUGACCCAGGGAGGAGGCUAGUAUGCUGGCAUCUCAGUAGUGGGAUUCCCAGCCUCUAGUGCUGGGAGACAUUUUUGUUGUUUCUGGGUCACCAGCCAUCUGUAACUAAGCGAACUGGAGAAGCAUAUGAAGGUUGCUGGGCAGUGUAAGGGGGGCCUGAAGAGGGUUAAAGUUAGCACCUUCACAGCCUCGCUCAAACUCGAAAGUUUUGUGUUUUUUUACAACAGUUAUUCCAUCUUUCUGAUACUGAUAGUGACGUGGAACAUUUCCACCUAUAUCUGUGGCCCGUCUUUUCAUUUUGUUUUCGUUUCUGCUUUGAAACAGGGUCUCAAAUUGUAACUGAGGCUGUCCUGGAACUCACUGUGUAGUGUAGGAAGGUCUCAAAGUUCUGGCAGUACUCUUACUUUGGCCUCCUGAGUGCUGGGAAUGCAGAGCCAGAGAAACAAGGAGAAGAGUAUCCCUACUUGUUGGAGCAGGUCCAUCGAUACCUCCCUACUCACUUCCGGUCCUUUGGUUUUGUACCAGUUUGUGCAGCCCAAAUAGUCUUGGGUAUGGAGCCACUUGGUGGAGUGUGGCCAACCUCCCAGAGAACACACCCUGGAAAGGAAUGGGUUGUCCAUCUCCCAGUGUGGAAAACCAAAGGACAGUUGUGGUAUCAUGCACAAGACCCUGUGUAAACUCAAUCCCAGUAUGCUGGGAGGAGGUAGGCAUGGAGGUCUUGCUUCUUCCUUUGCUAUACAGAGUGUUAUAACAUAGCCCAGUGUAGCUUCAAAGCGGGGAUCUGCAUGCCUCAGCUUUCUAGUUGCUGGGAUUCUGGGUUCACACUACUCCCCUUGGCUAAAGGAGGGAGAUUUUAGUGGCUAAAAUAAAGGCAAAUGCAAAGGCCCUGAGGUUUAGACUUAUCGAUGUGCAAAGAAUCCAUGGGAGGAGGAGCAGGCCAAGCGAGAAGUUUAGUAGGAAAUAUAUUUUAAAGUAGGCAGAGGCCAAAUCAUGCAGGCCUAGUUGUCUAUGGUAAGUACUUGCUUCCAUCCCAAGCAUGAUGAAAACCUCACUGAAUGAGUGAGAACACAAGGAAGAUAUCAGUUCUUUUCUAUUAUGUAUACAAUAGUCUGUCUGUGUAUAUGCCUGUAGGCCAGAAGAGGGCACCAGACCCCAUUACAGAUGGUAGUGAGCCACCAUGUGGUUGCUGGGACUUGAACUCAGGACCUUUGGAAGAGCAGGCAAUGCUCUUAACCUCUGAGCCAUCUCUCCAGCCCCCCUUUCUGUUAGUUAUUGAGAUAAGGUCUCAUGUAUCCUAGGCUGGCCUCAGAUUUGAUCUGUAAUGGAGGAAGAUCUUGAACUCCCGCCCCUCCUGCUGGGGUGACAGGAAUGAGUUAGCACUUCCUUAUAGUUCAUUUGUGUCUUAGAAGACUUGUUAUGAGCGUUGGGAAAUGCAUUAGUGCUGCUAGAGUGCCUGCUAGGCAUGCAUCAAACAUUGCACUGGAUGCCCAGCAGCAAAUACAAUGGGGCAUGGUAGCCCUUACCUGUAACCACACUGGGAGAUGGAGGCAGGAGGAACAGGAGUUCAAGAGCUGCAUGAGAUCUUGUCAAAAAAAUUACUAUCCUGCAGAUGGGGAGAGUGUUAAGGUUAAGACCGCUUUCUGUUCUUGCAGAGGACCUGAAUUUGGUUCUCAUCGGCCACAUCAGUCAGCUCACAACUGCCUAUAACUCUAGCUCCAGAGUAUCCUGGCUUUCCUGGACAAUGCCACUCAUAUGCACAAACCCACAUGUGAGUUCACACACACGCACACACAUGUACAUACACACACACACUUGAAAAUAAUAAAAAAAUAGAAUUUUAAAUGUCCUAUCUCCCUGUG
Molecule: long non-coding RNA, 5155 nt
Organism: Alexandromys fortis (reed vole)
Lineage: Eukaryota; Metazoa; Chordata; Mammalia; Rodentia; Cricetidae
Exons: 3
Source: RefSeq, a predicted model, not a curated record